GCGGAAGUGGCGGAAUUGGUAGACGCACCAGAUUUAGGUUCUGGCGCCGCAGGGUGUGAGAGUUCAAGUCUCUCCUUCCGCACCA
RNAcentral lists this transfer RNA (85 nucleotides) under Vibrio parahaemolyticus. Its description in RNAcentral is "tRNA-Leu". It matches the Rfam family "tRNA". Rfam says of the family: Transfer RNA (tRNA) molecules are approximately 80 nucleotides in length. Lineage: Bacteria; Pseudomonadati; Pseudomonadota; Gammaproteobacteria; Vibrionales; Vibrionaceae. The record is from RNAcentral.